This 207-nucleotide unclassified non-coding RNA is filed under the name Filobasidium chernovii. Its description in RNAcentral is "partial internal transcribed spacer region". The stretch from base 1 to 46 matches the Rfam family "Eukaryotic small subunit ribosomal RNA", at positions 1786 to 1831 of the family's 1831-position model. The record is from RNAcentral. Lineage: Eukaryota; Fungi; Basidiomycota; Tremellomycetes; Filobasidiales; Filobasidiaceae.
AAGUCGUAACAAGGUUUCCGUAGGUGAACCUGCGGAAGGAUCAUUAUUGAAUAAAUUCGUCUGUGGCUUCGGCCCGGAUGGUAAUUCUAUCCAUAACACCUGUGAACUGUUGGAUGCUUGCAUCCACUUUUAAACUAAACAUUAUUGUAACAAAUGUAGUCUUAUUAUAACAUAAUAAAACUUUUAACAACGGAUCUCUUGGCUCUC